AUCGCUUAAAGGAUGCCAGCGGUAUUGAUAGAGAAAACAGGACCUUUUAUAGGAUUUGACUACAUUCUUACGAAGUUGUAGCUUUGGCUUAAGUGCGUCUUUAGGCCUGUGACCUUCAGAACUUUCUUUUUUUACAUUUUAAGUAUUUAUUUUUAUUUUUAUUUUGAGACAGGGUUUCUCUCGGUAGCCCUGGCUGUCUUGGAGUGCUCGCUAUAGACCAGGCUGGCCUUGAGCUCAGAGAUCAGCUUGCCUCUGCCUCCCCAGCACUGGAAACAGCUGAGCAGGAAGUGACUGAAUAGCCACUGCCUGGCCAGGGUUGGGGCAGAGACAGGGAGGUCUGCUUGCUCAGAGCAACAGGACAGCAGGCUGUCCACUGAUCAGGAAUGCCUGCCCUGCCCAGCCCUGAAGGGGUGCCACCUGGACAAGUGAGUUUUGUCACCGCACUGCGGAGCCUGAAGUUACACAAGAAGCAAGACAAGGUCUCCCAUGGUUGGAAGGACCCCAAAUGAUGUCUCUAUACCCAACUCUGUGGGAAGAUCGGUUUCCCAGCCAGAGUCCAUCCCUCUCCUUCUGUGCAGGUGGUCUCGGAUUAAUGAUGCUAAGAUCAACCUCCUAUGGGGCUUCGAGCCCCCUUCCUCUACCCCCCCCCCCGUGCUGCUGAGAACCAGGUGGGCAGACAGGAAUGC
This 686-nucleotide long non-coding RNA is filed under the name Mus pahari (shrew mouse). RNAcentral's name for it is "predicted gene 16275 (MGP_PahariEiJ_G0003083.1)". Lineage: Eukaryota; Metazoa; Chordata; Mammalia; Rodentia; Muridae. The record is from RNAcentral.